GAUGAACGCUAGCGACAGGCCUAACACAUGCAAGUCGAGGGGCAGCAUGGUAUCAGCUUGCUGAUACCGAUGGCGACCGGCGCACGGGUGAGUAACGCGUAUGUAAUCUGCCUGUAACAGAGGGAUAACCCGGAGAAAUCCGGCCUAAUACCUCAUAGCACAUAUUAUUCGCAUGAGUUUUAUGUUAAAGAGACUCGGUUACAGAUGAACAUGCGUUCCAUUAGCUGGUUGGCGAGGUAACGGCCCACCAAGGCAACGAUGGAUAGGGGUUCUGAGAGGAAGGUCCCCCCACACUGGUACUGAGACACGGACCAGACUCCUACGGGAGGCAGCAGUGAGGAAUAUUGGUCAAUGGACGAGAGUCUGAACCAGCCAAGUAGCGUGAAGGAUGACUGCCCUAUGGGUUGUAAACUUCUUUUAUACGGGAAUAAAGUUAGCCACGUGUGGUUUUUGUAUUGUACCGUAUGAAUAAGGAUCGGCUAACUCCGUG
This 490-nucleotide ribosomal RNA is filed under the name uncultured bacterium. RNAcentral's name for it is "bacterial SSU rRNA". It matches the Rfam family "Bacterial small subunit ribosomal RNA", at positions 28 to 507 of the family's 1533-position model. The record is from RNAcentral.